CCCCUUUAAAACAUCCAGUUACUUUGUUGAUGACAAACCACUUAUAAGCAUCAAACCUCAUUUAAAGCGACCUAAAUCUUUUAUCGGCUUAGUAUAAAGGAUGAGGGAUAAAAGUCAAUGAAGCUUCAAUUGGUUCAAUACAAGUUCACAUUUUGACAAAUCCUUUGGCCUCAUAUUUAUCUCAAACACUACCAUUAAAAUAUUCUCAAAAUAUUUGUUAUCUAAGGUAUACACUUAAUAUGGACAGUAAUCUAUAUUCAUUCUAAACACCUUACCUUAAAUGUCUACUCUCCCCAAUUAAGUCUUCUUCUUACAUCUAAACACAUAAAUCUCUAAAAUUAACUUCUUUAUAAACUGUUCUUCAAAUCAAUUUAGAUGCAUGAUGUUCAGCUAUGGGGAGUUGUUAAACACAACAUUAAUGAAAUCCCAACAUUCUAAUACAAAUUCCUUUGUUAAAUAAUCAAAGCCCCUAUUAUGUAUAAAAUCAUAAUUCUUUAUUUUAACAAUACACAAUUUUUUCCAGAUAUUCUACUAAUACUUAAACUCCAAUCUAUAUAACCCUUUUAUUUCAGAACUGUCAGUUCCUACUAUGCACGGUGACCACAGAAGGUGCUUAAAUGAAUCCUUUCUACUUUGCCACUCCAUUAUCCAUCAAUGAUCAACUCUUUGUCCAAAUCUUCAUAUUUAAAAUUAAGUAAUACAAUUUAUUUUAUAUAAACUUUAUAACAUCACUUGUGCUUAUUGUAAACAAUGUUUUUACUGAUUAUUAAAUUUAUGACUUAGUUAUAAAAAAAAAACAAAAAAAUUAUAAAUUUUAAUUACUUAACACUAUUAAA
Molecule: non-coding RNA, 836 nt
Organism: Cinara cedri
Lineage: Eukaryota; Metazoa; Arthropoda; Insecta; Hemiptera; Aphididae
Source: the annotation of a GenBank genome assembly